CAAUAGCGUAUAUUUAAGUUGUUGCAGUUAAAAAGCUCGUAGUUGGAUUUCGGGUGGGACGCAGCGGUCUCGCAUUGCGUUUGUACUGCUGCAGCCCUCCUUCUUGCCGGGGGCGGCCUCUCGGACUUCACUGUCUGGGGGUCAGAAUCGGCGAUGUUACUUUGAGUAAAUUAGAGUGUUCAAAGCAAGCUUACGCUCUGAAUAUAAUAGCAUGGGAUAACACGACAGGACUCUGGCCUAUCGUGUUGGUCUAUAGGACCAGAGUAAUGAUUAAGAGGGACAGUCGGGGGCAUUCGUAUACCGUUGUCAGAGGUGAAAUUCUUGGAUUUACGGAAGACGAACAUCUGCGAAAGCAUUUGCCAAGGAUGUUUUCAUUGA
RNAcentral lists this ribosomal RNA (378 nucleotides) under uncultured eukaryote. Its description in RNAcentral is "partial 18S ribosomal RNA". It matches the Rfam family "Eukaryotic small subunit ribosomal RNA", at positions 592 to 976 of the family's 1831-position model. The record is from RNAcentral.